RNAcentral lists this long non-coding RNA (21463 nucleotides) under Medicago truncatula (barrel medic). RNAcentral's name for it is "long non-coding RNA (MTRU_LNC000027)". Lineage: Eukaryota; Viridiplantae; Streptophyta; Magnoliopsida; Fabales; Fabaceae. The record is from RNAcentral.
UAUGCUCUCCAAAAGUUCAAUUUUGGAAUGCAUACUUCAAAUAUGUAUUCCAAUUUUUAUUUUAGAAAUUAAAUUUUUGAAUAAAACCGAUAUAUGCAGGUGUAUCAUUUUAUGAAAAUUAUGUUCCAAUUUUUAUUUAAAUUUUCUUCAAAAAUUAGUAUUUUGCAUAAAAUAUUUCAAUAAAAGAGUAUUUUGUGUUUAAAAAAGCAUGCAAAAGAAUAUCUUAUAAGAAAAAUAAGUAGGUGCUAAUAGUAAAUACAUCCAAUUUGUUUCGUUUAUAUAUUCUUCAACAUAGUUUGGGUCAAAAUGCUCAAGGUCGGCCCAUUUUUCACCCUAUACAUUCUAUCAAUACCAAGUAGCUUAACGAUAUAUAAGAUUCGCUACCACUGAAGCAUGCGAAUCAUGCCUAAAAACGGCGCAACAAAUUUUUACCAGGGCAAAAGAGAAAGCAUAGAUACAUGUUGAGUUCAUGUCUAAUCUAUUCAAGCAAGCGAAUCAGGUAUACAAUUUAGUUUUGUUUUCAAAUUCUAAUAUGAUUCAAUUAUAUUCUAAUAUAAACCAAUAGAUUUACUAUUCAGAUAUUUCAAUUUGUAUUCUUUUCAUAAAAUGGUAGUUUGAAGAAUGAUAGUUCUAGAAAUUGAAGUAUUUGUGAAGUAUACCCCAAAUCAAAAUUUCAGCUCUAUUUACCCCUUAUUUUUAAGAUUUUCUACAACUUAGAAUUUUAUGGAUAGCGUUACAUGAUUCAAAAUGAGUUGUCCCAAAAAAUAAUAUUGGGAUAGUCAUAAACUCAGAUAUGAGGAUCAAAUAAAUCUGAGAAUCAAAUUUGAGAAUUAAACCUUCGAUUAGAAUUCACAAAGCUUUAAUAUCAAGCUUAUAUGCAAACAUAUUUUGGUUUUUUUUUUUUUUUGAACAAGCAAACAUAUUUUGGUUUUAGGGUUUUACUAGAAAUUUUGAAUAUUUGGGUUAUAAAUUAUUUGAGAUGGAAACUAACAAAACAUCAUAUGACAAUUUUAUCAUACGUAAAUCGAAUUUGGUUAUCCAAAAAAAUUAAAUGGUUCCAGAACCAUUAAUUUAAAUAUCAAUGUAGUCUAUUUGAAGUUUAUAAUUUACCUUGUUUUCUUCAAUUUAAAUAUCAAUCGUAGUAUAGAGGCUUCUUUUAUUAUAUUGUACAAUUACAAUUCUUUUGAUUAAUUUUAAAGAUUCUGAGUUUCAACUAAAAUUAAAAUAUUUAUUUUAUUUUAUGUUUUCUGAUUUGGAAUAUAGGUUGCGAAGGAAAUGAAGUUUUCAACAUGGAAUCUAAUAGAAAUUUAUGUUGUUCCAUGGGUAAGAGUAGUCCUCCUAUGACUCCUAAAAUAUUAAUUUAUUUCAACAUGUGACAACUUCAGGAAAGGGAAAAGGAAAUUCAACAGUGUCAAGGAAAUGGCAAAUCAUCUAUAAUUAUAGAAGAUGAUGCAAUCAAUGAAGAUGACAAAUCUAGAAAGAUGUGCUUAAAUGAUAUAAUGAAGAAGUUAUGCCUGACUAAUGGAACAUAUCCUUCCAAUGAGGUGGCUCCCCAAAUUUGCAAGACAUCCGAAUCAAUUAAGGUAACACUCUCGUAUCGUGGAGUUGUAUUCAAUCUAUUUUGUAGUAUAAAUUUUCAUGGAUACCGAAGAAUGCUCUCAAAAUAAAUUUGUGACAAGAAGAAAACAAGGUUUCAAACAUAGCUAUAGAUUCAAAAAAUGUUAGAAAAGUAGAAAUCCAAUGAAGAAAAUACAGUAAAUUAUUUUUGCUGCACUAAAUUAUACUUUCGACUUGGUCCCUCCUGAACUAAAUUCUUGACUCUGUUCCUACACACACACAAAAAAAUACUUAGUUGAACCAAUUAAGAGAAAUGAGGCCAAGAAUAUCAAUUACAAAUACAUCCGUUCCUCAAAGAAAAUGCAAGAUAGCUAGGUCGAAAAAGCACGAAAAAACGAUCAUAUCAUUUUGGGUUAACCCAUUAGAGUUGUUUUUUAGAUGGUCCGACCUAGGUCGAACUACUAAGCUUGUGGGCAGUUCCAUUAAAAAUACUAAAAAAAGUAGUUUAUAAAAAUAGUUUUAUUAUGUAAGACUGAAGUAUUUUAUUAUGUAAGACUAAAUUUUGAUUUCUCCAAGGUUGCACUUUUAUGAGUUUUCAUAAAUGCUCUCUACUUUUGCAUUUAGGUUUUUGUGUUAUUAGUCACUCAUGUAUGUUGAUUUAGAUGUUUUAUAUAUCAUUUAACUAAAUUUACGAAUACAUGUGAUUUAUUUUAAUGAUAAUAAUUUAUGUGAUACGUUUUUUAUUGCACUAAUGUGUAUAAAUUACAACAGUAGUUUUAUGAAAUUUUGAUUAAAAUUAUAUUGAUUUUGAUUAGAAUUAUUGGUAUAGAUAAUGAAUAUUUUGCACAUUUUCAAAAAAAUAAAAUAUAUAAUAUAACUUUUUUUUAUAGUCAAAUUUAUCGGCCUGGCCCAUCGGCCCGUGUAACCCACUUCUAUUUGAGCGCUUCUCUUUAGGCCUCCAAUAUCUCUAAUGGGCCCUAAAUACAUGCUCACCCAGUUGUUAUAUAUAUACCAGAUGAACAUUUUUUUCUUUCAAACCUAUAUCAAAUAGAUAUCUACCGGAUGUGUAUAUAGGGGGCCUUAGAGAUAUUGUGGGGUCUAAAGAGAAAUGUCCGUUCUAAUUGGAUGUGUUUAAUUUUGGUUGUCAUAAAUCAAAUGAGACUAUUACUUUUCCCACCCUACCCAUUACUCGCGCGUAGAGUUGGGAAUAGGCCAUACCGGCCUACAUGGGCCUAUGGUCUGGCCUGUUUAAGCCUAGCCUAGUUUGACCUGUUUAUGAAAAAAUGCUAGGCUUAGGCUUUUGAAAAAGCCUAAUUAAGUAAAUAGGUCAAACUUAGGCUAUCGAAAAAAGUCUACGAAGCCUGAUAAGCUGGCCUAUUUAUGGAUGGUAUUAAAAUUUAUUUUUUAUUUAUAUUAAAAUAUAAUUUAUAUUAAACAUAAAAAACAAGAAGAAAAAAAUUCAAAUAAUAGAUUUUUUAAAUAGGCUUUGAGGCCUUAUAGUGAAACAGACUUUUAAGGCCUUAUAGCAAUAUACAGGCCUUACCGUGAAAUAGGCUUUAAGGUCAGUUUAACCUAUUUAAAAGUAGAGGAAAUUGAAUAUUUAGUGACAUUAAUACGAAGUAGGCCUGUAAAUAUGCUUCCAAUCCAGGUCAGACUUUUAAAUAGGCCAGGCCAGGCAAAAAAAAUAGGCACAUGAAAGGCCAUAGGAUAGGCUCAGGCUUGCAAAAAAUUUCGUAGGCUAGGCUCAGACCUGGCCUAUUCCCACCCUACUUGCGCGCCUUGUAAAUUUUACAAAAAUGCCCAUGAGUAAUUCGGAUUUUAAAAUCCAAAAUGAUUUUUCACUAAUUCGAAUUACAAAAUUCGAAAUAUGCUUAUGUAUAAUCAGCAAUCAAAAUCUCUCCCAUUUCAGCAAUUUUGAAUUUUGCUUUUAAAAACAACCAAAAGACAAAGUAAAAAAAUGCUAAAAAUCUAUCAAAUAAAAAAAAACAAAAAAAAUUCUAAAAAUCAAAUAAAACUAAUGCAAAAAAAAUUCGUAUAUUUCUGAUAAUUUGAAGAAAAAAAAUUAAAAAUGGAUCAAAACGAUGAAAUUUUGGAUUUUGAGGGGUGUAGUCCCGUAAGAAGUCCCUUCUAGGGAGUCUUCAUGCUUGAUUUUUUUUCCUGAUUUUCUGUGAAACUUUCGGAACAAUCGGAUCAAGUAGCCCAAAUAUCAUUUUUCUACUCGGAAAAGCUAACAAUGACCUAAAAUAGGAGAAUGAUAGUUAGGAAGAUUAAUAAGAUCCUUAAAAUGACUAUCCAUGAUAUAAUCAUGUUCAGAACUGGUGGUGAUACAGUUCGGAUUAUAUAAUCUGAACUAUUUUUCCCUUGAAAUAUGGUGUUUAGGGGGUGUUCUGAUUCUAACAUCCGAAAAAAUAAGGUGUUUUUGAGGUUUUCAGAUAAUAAAAUCUGAAUUGGUGAAAAAACUCAUUUUUCCACCCUAUAACAAAGGAAAAAGUCAGUUUAGAUUUUAAAAUCCGAAAAUCACAAAUGCAAUUUUGAAAAAUAUACAGGGCGCAUGAGAAUGACAUAGGUGCGAAAAGUAAUAGUCAUAAAGUGAACCGUCCCAAUCUAACCCAUUUAUAUUAUCUGACCCACUGGACCGAGCGGGCUGGAUCGGACCAGUCCAUUUGACAACUCUAUAUGGAACAAUGUGUGUUUUCCUUGCCUUAUAAAAAAAACCCAACUUACAUAGGGUUUCAAACCUCCAACCCUUAGCAGCAGCCACUUCCUACCCUUUCCCCAACUGCCGCCACACUCUACCAUUUUCCGCCGGAUGCCUGUUUGGAUUAACUAUAGGUAAAUGUAUAAUCUGUUUUUAUGUAUGAAAUGUUUGUUCUUUUCAUGAUCUGGAUUGAGAUCUAUGUCCAUAUGUUCAAAGCUUGUGGCUGUUUUGUUUAUUUCCCCCAUGAUCUCACAAAGCGAGCCUUUGAUUAUAAUAGUUGUUUAAUUUAUAUGAUUGUUGUCGUGUUGUUGCAACUCUUAUAUGUAAUUUGAAUAAUUGUAGCUUUUUCACCCUCUAAGUACUCCUUCUACUUGGCGUUCUUUCAAUAUUUUCAAUAUAUUUCUCUUCUGUGUCUUCAAAAUUUAUAAAUAAAAAUUUUCUCUGUUGGAUCCAUUCAUUCGAUUUGUUUAUUUAUUUUAUUUUAUUUGUAUGCGUUCUUUUAAUUUUUAGCUAACCUAGAUCUGCCAUCGCUAUGCCAGGCAACAACUUGAUGGCACUGUUGAUGAUGAUUUUUAUUUCAUCAUCUACAAUGUCAUGCAUUUGGCCAUUCAUCAGUAAUGUUGAUCUUCUGUCUUCGAGUGUGAUUUCUUUGAUUAAACAGGUGAGGUACCACAUUAUAUCUUAAGUAAUGAAUUUGUCAAUUUUAUUUGAAAGUUGGUGGGUAAAUUAAUUGUUUAAUAGCAUUUUUUUUUUCUCUCCUUCUUCUUCAGAUUAAUAAGCAUCUAAUUGUGGAAUCUAUUUGUGGAGGUUCGGGACCUAUUGGAGGAGAAGUUUCACUUGUACGCCUCUAUUACCAAAUUUUUAAACAUAGUCAAUAUGGUUAAUGUUUUGUGUGAAUGUUUUAUUGGAUGGUUGCAUCAGUGUAACAAUUGUUUUAACUGCAGGUAUAUUGAAAAUGUAUAGAAACCCAGAAACCCACAAGUGCCAUGGGAUGAAAGGUGCAAAAAUGCUGAAAAUCUAGUCAUAAAAACAAAAGAAGAACCAAAAGUUAGUGAUAUUGAAUCUAAUUUAGUUGGAGGCAUUGUUAUUUCCGAACCAAGGAAAAUUGAAAUAGAGGGCAUGUGGAAUGUUACGAAUAACAAUGAUCAAGUUGAAUCUAACUUUCGUCAUAAAGGAAAAGAGGAAAUGAUUCAAACUAAUGAAGAGUCAGAUUCUUCAUUCCUUCAUUCUCUUCUGAAGAUGAGGAGUUAAGAUUAGCAUUACAUAAUUCACCGAUCUUUCAAUAUCCACUACAAUUUUGGAAAAGGCACCUCAGUCUUUUCGAUAUCUACUACAAACAAACUACCAUAUAGUGUGGAAAAUGAAAAUGGUUUGAUAGGAAACUCUAUACAUUUUAAAGCAGCCGAUGAAAUUGAUGGAGAAGAGGUGAAGUUUGAAUAGGAGGAGCACAGGUAAAAGUUGAUUCAAAAAGAAGAAGAAUUCCAAGAUAAGGAAAUAGGGAAAUGAUUGAAAUUAAUAUUCUUGUUGACUGUAUUAUGUGAAAAUUAUAUUUGAAAAAACAAGGUUGAUACUUGUAUGUUUAGUGUUGAAUCUUUAAUUUUACUUUAAGAUGGAAAUGAUAUAAGACAAUGUUUAAGUAACUAGUACAAAAAUUGUUGUUCUGAGAGGUUUAUAUUGAUUGUAAAUUAACGAAACAUGUUUAUUGAUUUUUAUUACUACUUAAUAACAAACGUUAGGGUGUAUUUUUUCUUCCUUUUUAUAUAGUGUGAAAACAUGUCUAAAGAUACAGGUCAUGAUGGUGACUGCAAUAUAAUUUAGUUCAUUAUGAUCAAUUGUUUUAAAGUGGUUUCUUAAUCACUCUUCAAUAGAAGACAUUCUCUAUAGUUUGUAUUACUUCGUGCAAGUUCAAUAGGUGUGGUCCAACCGAACAUCUAAUAAAAUGUUAACUUGCUAUCAAUUAAAUAUCUUGCACCCAGUUCAUGUAAAUACACUGUUUCUCGGUUAAGGCACAUUGUUAGUUUUUCUAUUACUUAAGUACUUAGUAUUUGCACUUUUGUACACAUCAUUAUUUCGUUUUGACGUUACUAAGAGAUUUAGAUCUUCGUGAGUAAAGUGAAAAAAUAAAGUUGUUAUUUUAACAAAUUCAUGGUUUGUUAUGAUGUACCUACAAUAUUUAUUAAUGAUUUGUUUAUUGACGGUUAAUAUUAUUCAUUUUACACCCUAACAAUGAAUUGCUCACUUUAGAGGAGCCAGAAUCUCCCAGCUAGGGAUACUUUUGUUUAGACUCACUGAUAUCUUUGGGAGUACAUUUUGUGGACAUCAAGUACCUAUUGCGCUUAUCACUACAAUUAUUGAACUUAUUAAUCGUGUUCUGGCUAUUGAUAUUCUCUGCUAUGAAUUUCUGAUAUAAUGUUUUCUUUUAUCCAUUUUAGUGCUUGAAAAAUGGCAAUUCAAUUUGCACCAAUUUUGCCAAUUUGUUAACCAUGCUGGAAAGGUAAAGCUUAUGAUUUCAGAGAAACCUAUUUCAAUAACAUUGCAUGAUAAUUUCCAAAAUCUUUCAUGCUUAAAGUAUACUGUAUAUAUAUUUGAUUCACUUGAAGCAUUUUGUUAUAAUUUCUGCUCCUUUCCACAACCAUUAUAGUGUCAAAAAUAUUCUGUUUUAUUAGUCAAAUGUAGUGUUCUAGAAAGGUAAAGUUUAUGAUUUCAGAGAAACCUAUUUCAUAAUUUCUUUUUACACAGAGGAUACACAUAAUCGAAUAAUAGCGUGUUCUCUCUUUUUAUAAAAAUUAAAAAACAAUAAACUUGGUUUUUGAUGGAAAUCAAGAGACUUGGUAUAAUAAUUGUCAAUAAAAACAGGUUCCUGUUUUUGUGUAGCGUUAUUCGUAAAAAUUAGCAUUUCCCCAUUGAUAUAAUGAAAAUGCAAAAUUUAACUACCAACUAACUAAAUAUAUUUUUGACAAAAAAAACUAACUAAAUAUAUUGGUAGACUUUUUUUUGAAGAAAUUUAUCAUUCGUAACAGAAUUCUAUUUAAAUUCAUCAAAUAUAUACGACGUCAUAUAUAAUAGAAAAUUUUCAACAUAGCUCUUUACUUGAACAAUUUUUUUUACAAGUUUUCUUUAAUAUCUUUUUCAAAUAAAGGAUGAGAAAAUAGGCACGUUCGUAGAUGAUUUUGCGCACCAAGGGCCUUGCAACAUAUCAUACCGUGAGGGUGAGACUAAGAGCCAAACAUGAGGCAAAUCAACGAACUACCCUCAAAAUUAAUCAAGCAGAGGCGGUGCAAUGUAGGCCACGUUGUGUGGGUAAUAGAGACAAUGUUUGCAUAUAAAUACUCAAUUUUUACAUUGUAAUAGAGACAUCCAAUCAAAUAUAAAGCUUAUUUCGCUAUUUUCAUCUCUUUAUAAAUACUCAAAUAUUAAAUUGCAAAAGUUAGUUAUUUGAAGUAUAUGCUCUCCAAAAAUUGGAUUUUGGAAUUCAUACAUUUUUAUUUUAGAAAUUAAUUUUUUGAAUAAAAACUAUAUAUAUAUGCUGGUGUAUCAUGUUCUAAAAAUUAAGUUCCAUUUUUCAUCUUAUUUUUUCUUCAAAAAUGAGUAUUUUGCCUACAAAAUUUUAGGAAAUGAAUAUUUUGCGUAAAAAAAAAAGGGUGCAAAAGAGUAGCUUAUAAUAAAAUUAAGGAAGUGCCAAUAGUAAAUGCAUCCAAUUUGGCACAUUUAUAAGUUCUUCAACAUGGUUUGGGUCUAAUUGCUCAAGGUCGGCCCAUUUUUAACCCUAUACAGUUUAUCAAUACCAAGUAGCGUAAUGAUAUAUAAGUUUCGCUACCAUUGAAGCAGGGGAAUCAUACCAUAAAUUUUGCAACAAAUUUUUAUUAGAGAAAACCUAGAUUACACAUUGAGUUCAUACCUAAUCCAUUUACGCAGGCGAAUCAGGUAUAUGAUUGUAGUACGAUUUAGUUUUAUUUUCAAAUUCUGAUAUGAUUCAACUAUAUUGUAACAUAAAUGGCUAGAUUUAUUUUUGGGGUAUUGCAAUCUUUUUUCUUCUUGCAAAAUGGCAUUUAUUUUCCGUUGUUUUUAAUCUUUUCCAUGACUUUGUGUUUUAUGGGUAUGCGAUGUUGGUUUUGAAAUGUGUUUUUUUUUUUUUUUUAAAUAUAGGGAUAAUCGCAAAUCCAUUCCAGAUCUGAGAAUCAAAUUUGACAAUUAAACCUUCAAUUUAAAUUUAGGGAGCUUUAAAGCCAAACUCAUAUGCUCACAUAUUUGGGCUUUAGGUUUUUCUUAGGAACCUUGGGCUUUGGUGUCACAAAUUAUUCAGAUUUAAGAUGGGAACCAACUAACUCUAAGAUGACAACAUUAAAUUGGCUAUUAAUGCUUCCAUGACCAUUAAAUUGGCUAUUGAUGUAGUUUACUUCAAUGUAUAAAUUAAUCUUGUGUUGUUCAAUUUAUGUUCAAUUUUCGAUUUAUCUUGUGUUGUUCAAUUUAUAUUCAAUUGUCAAUUAAUGGUCUGUAUGGUAUAAUAGAAGUACUUUGUCCUAAAUGAAUUCUUGAAUAAUUUUGUUCUCUUAAGGAUAUUAUUUAUCACCUAUGGUAUAUAUAUGCUUGAACUCUUAACGGCUUUUAGCUCAUGUUUUCAUUUAACCUUUUAGAAGCAUUUCACAAAUCUUAACAAUUUGAUACAAAGUUUGCUUACGAUAUUAUUCUCGUAUCUUAUUGGUAUAUAUCUUCAAAUCAUUUAUUUGAUUAGAAGAUAUAUUUAUUUAACAAUAUAUUUAUUUGAUUAUUAGAACCUUUAUUUCUUUUUAAUUAUUAAUAUUUAAUUUCUAUGUAUAUAUAGAGAUUAUGUUUAUAUUUAUAUAUAUACAAUAAUUCUUUGUUUUUUCAAUGAAGAAAUACAUGGAUUUGUGUUGAAAAUAAUUUUCAUAUUUACUCUUAUUUGUGGUCAUCAAGAUUAUGGCAUCAUUUAUCAAAAUUGGUUCAAUCUGGAUAGAUUUUUCGCAAUAUGAUCUCACGGAUCAACAUCAAUGUGAGCCAUCAACUAUAUGGUAAAUUUUAUUUCAAUUUAUCUCCUUAUUUUAAUCUGAUUAUAUUACAUAAAAUGUUGUAAAUUUAUAAACUGGGUAAGCUUUAAUCCAAAUCUUUGUUCCUAAUAUAAGAGAUAUCAAUAUUCAAAAUGUUAUUAGAUUGACCAGUAACAAAGUUAGUGAUUUGAUUAAUUAUAUGAUAAUUAGUGGCAAUGAGAAUGAAGAUAAUGCUCAAGAUGUUAGAAGAACAGGUAACUUUCAAUAUCAUUAGCUAUUUAUAUUUUUUUACUAUUUUAUAUUGUGUUGCUUGAUUUUAAUGUGUACUUAAUAUACACCAGAAAAAAUAGGUCUAACGGUGGAGGGCCAAAAAGAAAAUGUGACGAGCAUUGUUAUUUUUGAACCAAAGGAAAGUGAAAUGGAGGGUAUCAAUGAUGUUUCAAUCAAUAAUAAUGAUGAUGAAGCUAGCGUUGUUUAUAAAGAAAAAGGGAAUAUGAUUCAAACAAAUGAGGAGUUAGAAUUUUCAUCCUCUGGGGAAGAAGAAGUCCUAGCAUUUGCAUCACAUUUCCUACCCUUUCCAUAUGAUUCACUACAAUUUGGGAAAGGUGCCUCAAAGUUAUUUACAGGUGGAACUGAUUCUAGGCUCGAACUCAAUAUUGAUGAAGGCAUUGAAGAAAAUUUAUUGGACGGAUUUUACUUCCCUUCAAACAAUGUCGAAGUAAGUAUAUCAUUAUUUCAUUAUACAUAACCAUUUAAUAGUGUUAUUGCUUUAUAUAUGAUUUUAGCUAAUAACCAUUCAUAUAACAUUCAUUUUGCGUGUGCGCGCACCCACAUAUAUAGACAUAUCUAUGAAAAUAUUUUUUUUAACAAUCUAUUUUAAUAACAUGCAACAAAAUUCACACUUUUAUUUUAUCAAUUUUAUUUUUUAAAUUCCUUUCUAGGAUUAUGCAGUCUGAGUCAAGAUUCUCUCAAUUUAUUAGUCUCUCCAUUUCUUCCAUUUGAAAAGAUAAAAACACAGAAAAUUAAAAAUAAUUAUUAAUAGUGAAAUCCGCUUAUGAAUAGGAUCAGUACAUACUUUUUUGUAUCUAUCUCUCACCAAAUGACAUUAUCCAUUUAUUUUUAAGCAAAUGGAGAGGAUCUUGACUCAUGCAAUCUAUACUAGUUAGCUUAUACAACAUAAUAUAUAUUUCAACUAUUAUCAUAUUUCAUUUUUAAAAUCUCAGAUACUUAAUUUGAUUUCCAGUUAUAAAAAGAUAUGUUUAUUUCUGGCAGGAAAAUAAUGUGCUCAAAAAAGAGAAGGAAUGUGAGAAUGACAUAGAUGAAAUGGCCGUGCAAAAGGUUCCAGAGAUCCUUAAAGACAAACUACCAAAUGUGGAAACUUCAAAUGGCAUGAAGGGUCACUCUAUACUUUUUGAAGAAAGUCAUGCAAUUAGUGAAGAAGAGGUGAAAUUUGAAAAACGGAGCAGUGGAAAAAGUAGUCCCCAAAAGAAGAUGGAUCCCAAGAGAAGGAAAUAUGAAAAUAACUGAAAUUCAUAUCUUUUUUGGUUGUUUUAUAUGAAAAUUAAAUUGAGGAAACAAGGUUGAUGGUUGAAGAUACUUGGUUUUGUAAACUUCAAUUUUAAUUAAAGAUAGAAAUGAUAUAAGACAAUGAAAAAGUAGAUGGUAGAAGACUUGUUUUUGUGAGAGGCUUUAAUGUAACAUAUCAAAAUUCCAUUAUAAUUUUCUAUGCUACAAAAUAUUGUGGAUUUAUGUCUAUAAGUUUCUUCAUAUCAUUGAAGAGAAAUCCUUUGUAGAUGCAAUUAGGUUGCAAUUUUUGAUACAGUGAAAAAGCACAAACAAAUAUGAUUUAAUUGAAGCUUUGGUCUUUCUAUUUUGCUAAUAAGGUACUUUGCCUUAUAUAAGCAUUGUAUUGCCUCAUGAUUGGAAUCAAUGAAAAAUAAUACUCCCUCCGUCCCAAAUUGUAUGACGUUUUGAGCAUUUCACACAUGUUAAGAAAUGUAAUUAAUAUUGUGUGGGAAAGAGAUAUUAUGAGUUGUUUUACAAAAUUAUCCUUAAUAAAUGAUAUGAGAAAGAUAAAUGAAAGAAUUGAAAAAAGAAAGAGUAAUAAAUAGUUAAGGAUAUAAUAGAAAAAGUAACAUUAAUGUUUCAUUGGUAUUCUAAAGUGACAUACAAUUUGGGACAAAUAUUUUUUCUAAAGUGACAUACAAUUUGGGACGGAGGGAGUAAAUUUUAUUUUCUAACUUCUCUCUAAACUCUAUAGUGUGGUCCCUUCUCAAAUUGGGCCGUAUCACUCUUUCACUAGAGGCAUCUAAGGGAACCCUAAAAUUGCAUCCGCAAACAGUUGUGUAUCUUAAUGAAUACCAAUUUAUGUCUACAAUCUCAUACUUCUUUGCAUGCUCUAUGUACACAUUUUCAUAUCACUAUCAUCAGCGAAAUUGAAUGUUAUUCGCUUCUUUUGAACCUACGAUCAAUUGAUAACAUUACAUGUACAUCAUUUAACAAUGCUAAUUUAGAACAUGAACUAAAAUGCUUUGCUCGCAUUUCGCACGUAGAGGUCAAAUAUUAUACAAAUACUAUGAAAUUAAACUCGUUUGUAAAGUAACUUCUUCAAUGUAAAGGAGUCAAAAAUCCCACAUAGUACUACGCAAUUACUGUCCGAGAAAUAUUUGUGCGAAAGUAUCAGCGUCAAAUGACUUCUUCCGAUGCCAAUUGCUAGGAUUUCAAAAUGGGAUCCGGACCACCAAUUUUAAGACGGAAUGACAUUGUGUCUCUGUCUCUGUCUCUAUCUCUCUCUCUCGCACACUGUACGUACCUCUGUAUCAUUUUACUUAUUAUUUCUAUUUUAUAUAUUUUUCUCAUAAAAUACAAAUGAAUACACUAAGCCAUGGUGUCUUUUCCUUCGGAAAGGUAGUCCAAUCCAUUUCCUUCAAAAUGGUGUUGACACCAUGUUAAAAAUGAGCAAUAAAUGUUUUUUGAAAUUGGUUGAAGAUUGAAAUUGGUUUAAUCUUCAUAGAUUGAAAUUGGUUGGGAUGAAAGGUGCAAACAUGUUGAAAAUGUAGAUCCAAAAACAAAAGAAGAUAUAAAAGCAUAUGUCAAUGGCAAAAUGCCUAUCGAGUUUUCUGUAUUUUUAGUUGUAAAUUUCAUACUAUUGAAUUUGAUUUCAAGUGAUAAAAAAUAUAUUUCAUUCUUGCAGGUAAAUAGUGUGCCGGUGUGAGGAUGUCACACAUGAUGUAGAUGAUGUACUCGUGCAUGAGAUUGCAGAGAUCCUUACAAAUAAACUACCUUUUAGUGUGGAAAAUGAAAAUGGUAUGCUAGGAAACUCUAUACGUUUUGAAGCAACUCGUGAAACUGAUGGAGAAGAGGUGAAGUUUGGAAAGAGAAACACAAGUAAAAUUAAAUUCGAAAAGAUCGAGGAAUCCAAAAAGAAGGAAAUAGGGAAACUGGACUAGAAUUCUGCAAGAAGAAGAGAGGGUUGAUAAUCCGGUUUUGCAUCAGCUAAUUUUCGCAGUUGCAGCCACAGUUUGAUGUGCCAGAUACUUUCAGGUGGCUGCCUGAUGCAGCGGCUGGUUUUUCUGUUAAAGAUUGCUACUUGGAGUUGUCAAAUCUAUUAUGUUCGGCUGAUAACGAUGACUAAUUUGUGGCAGCAGUUAGGCGGAUAUGGAGCACUUUCAUUCCUUUGAAUAUAUGUGUCUGCGCGGGUGGAGGUCAUUGCAGGAUAGGCUACAUAGUGCAGUUGGUGGCAGGGGGUCUCUCCUUGUUCAUAGACUCAAAAAUAUUCAGAAAACUAUACAUAGUGCUUAUAACUUGGAAUCUACAUGGACCACAACAAAUAUAUGAACAUUCACUUAAAACAGAUUAAGCAGCAACUAAAAUUGUUUUCUAUGAUGUUUGGUUCUUCUUGGCACAAAAAUAUAAUAAAUCAAAAAUAAUAUAGAUACUACCCUCGGGCCUCAGCAUGUACUUUAGAGCUAAAGAAUUUCAAUAUUCAUAACUAUUAUAUUGGAGCAGUAUAUUGUAAUUUGUAACCCUUAAAAACUAGUCUUAAUGAUGAUGAAACCUCUGCAGACUUAGCCUUCCAAAAGAUACUUGUCUGCUAAAAAAAAUAUAAACCAUAAAGAAGUAGAUAUAUGAAACAAAUGGUGGAGCGCAAAAGCAAACAAAUGUGAUAAAGGAAACAUUGAUAGGGACGACUUAGAAUCCUCUUCAUUUCUUAAAAGAAAUGUGUAUUAAAUUUGAUUUUAUAGAGUAAGAAUGUUACCCAUCAAAUCUUUUUUCAACAGCGUCAAACUGUGUAAAUACAUCAUAAUUCAUUCGAAAAUGCUAGGUUCCUAUUUUUAGCCCAAUGUGGCUUAGCACCAUACUUGAAAAAUACAAUUUGUUCCAAUUCCUCCCACACAUCUUGGUUUAAUCUAGGAGUAAAUUGAUCAUUUGCACGAUAAUAGUUGAAAUCAAUCACUACAGAGUCUUCUGAUUGUCCUAGAUAUGCUUCCAAGGCUUUAAUGUAAUGUAUCAAAAUUCCAUUAUAGAUGUCUAUGCCACAAAAAAUUUCUGGAUUUAUGUCUCUUAGUUUCUUCACAUCAAUGAUAAAGUCUCCAAAUUUUGAAGCAGGGAAAAUUGAUGUUGACUCAUAGAAGAACAAUCCUUUGAUUCUUGGAUCCCAUUCACAUGAUGUGUCUAUUCUUGUUGAAUAUAAGCAUGAACCUGAAGUUAGCAUUUUACCUUGAUAGCCAAUUACAGGAUAACCGGUGAAGAUUAGGUGAUUGUUCUUCAAUCCAUUGGCUGUUAAUUUCUUGAAUCCCAAUGUAGUGGAUGCUGUUACGCAUUUUCUAUUCUUGUUUCCUGUGUUUUCCAGCAAUUUCUCUGCAUGACAACGUUUAAGUUAUAUAUUAUAGCAUCUUAUAAACUUUGACCUGAACUCAAGAUUGCAAAUUGUGGAUCGAUGUGCAGUUAGGUCACAAUUUUUGGUAUUGUGAAUAAUUGCAGACAAAUGUGCUUAGUGCAACCAUUGUUGCAGCCAGCGGCGUACUACAACUAAAACCAAGAACACUUAUUAAAUUGUGGUCUACAAAACUACUAGGUAGCACCGACAUUUGAAGAUGUGACUGAUGUUGACACUGAGAUAUGUGGUUACAUUCAAUUAUUCUUUUUUUUUUUUUUUUUACUAGAUUCGACGUGUCAUUAAUUAGCGUCAGUAGUGUGUUUGGUGUUCUUGUUUGUGUCACAGAUUUAUGUGGUCUAUGCGACCACAUUGCGAUCAUAAUUUUGGUCCUUCUAGCCACAUGUCUACAAUUUUUCAUGGUAUGAAGAAUUAUAACAGCAAUCGCAACCGCAUACGUAAUUUAGAACCUUUUCUUUAGUUUAUUUAUUGUUAGUCCAUGAGAUCACAUCUCAUUUGUAAAAGUUUGACUUUAUAACUUCAAGGGAGGAAGUUCAAAUCCCUCCGAAGACAAUUGUAAACUGAUCAUCAGUGUAACUUUAAUAAUAAUUUCUCCCUUUUCAAAGUUUUUUAAAAAAGUUGGUUAUUACUUGCUAUCUAAGAACAAUAUGACAGUGAGGUCCUCAAGCCAGUACCAAGAGUUGAACCCACGCCCUUGUGGGGUAUGAGCUAACUCCUUGCACGCUUGGCCAACCGCAAUUGGCAAAACUUUAUUAUCUUUAAUUGGUUAUUGCUUGCUAACAGAAAUAUGAAAAUAAUUUUAGAACAGCACAAGAUGAGAUCAUUAUUACCUGCUGCUCUAACUGACUGAGAUACCAAUAUUUCGUUGGCUUGAAAUCCAAUGAAAUCAUAGACUCCGUCACCAGAGGCAUCUAAGGAACCCUGAAAUCGUAUCUAUAAUCAGCUGUGUGCCUUGAUGGAUACCAAGUUAUGUCCACAAACUCAUACUUUUUUACAUGUUAUAUGUACACGUUUUCAAUAUCAUUAUCAUCAGUGAGAUUGAAUGUUAUGCUUCUUUUGAAUCUAUGCUCAAGUGAUAACUUCACCUGACAUCGUUUAAUAAUGAUAAUUUAGAACAUGAACUAAAUUGCUAUGCUAGCAUCCCUCACUAUGAGGUUAAAAAUUAUGGUGCCAUCCAAUUAAAUAUAUUUGUAAAGUAACUUCUUAGGUGUAAAGGAGUUAAAUCCUACAUUGUACUAUGCAAUUACUGUAAUUAAGAAGAAGAUUUGUGCGAAAGUAUGAGCGAUAAUUGACUUCUUCAAAUGACAGUUUCUUGGCUUUCAAAAUGGGAUCCAGACCACCUACUUUAAGGUGGGAAAUACAUUGUGUCUUUGUCUCAUCUCUCUCAUACAUCGCUCUCUUUCUCAUCUUACUUAUUGGCGAGACCUUGUAUUUGGAGAGCAACCAAUAUGUGAACAAUAUUCAAUCCUUUAUAGUCUAGUCUCAUACAAAGAGCAUCACUCGCGCAGAAAUUUACUCCAGCUGGUACACAGCAGAACCGGAGCUGGUUCUGGUGCAGCAUUCGGUCCAGUGAGGAAGAGGAGUGAAUCCGAGUUAUACUAGGCGUUGACAGAGGUUCAGUUGUAGGAAAGGGUGACAGAUGUGGUCAAGUGGCUGCUGGACGAAGACAACGGAUUCUCGUUCAAAACCUGCUAUAGUCUGCUGCUUGAUCUUCACUUUUCUGCUGAUGAUGAUGCAAAAUUUUUGACAGCAGCUCGGAGUUUUGUGGGACACAUCACUCCCCAAAAAAAUCAGUUUGUUUGGGUGGUAAUUAUUUCAGGAUAGGCUUCCAACUAUGGAAUAAAGAAGGAGAGGAGUUAGUCGGAACUUGCACCGACAAUACUGUGUCUUUUGCUUUGAUGGAACAGAGACAGUAAGUCAUUUGUUCGUGAAUUGCAGAAAGACUCAAAAUAUGGGAUUUAAUUUUUAGAUGGCUAGAUUGGAAAGCAGUCGAAUGGAGAAAUGCAUUAAUUGAUAACUUCAUGCUGUUUAUUUCGCUUUGUAAAGGAAAGAAUGGUAAAAAAGCGUCUCAUCUAAAUUUUCUAACAACUGUUUGGUGUAUUUGGUUGGAAACGUAAUGUAACGAUAUUCUUUUUAACGGGAAAGAUGUCAAUGUUCAUGAGAUGGUUGGUCGAAUUAAGCUGUUGUCAUGGUCUUGGUUUAUUUAUAGGGCGGGUAGAAACAAGAACUUUGUCUUCUCAAAUAGGUGGACAAAUCCACUUCAUGUUUUACGAUGCUUUUGAAGCAAGUAAAUUAUUUCCUUGUGGUUGAUUUGUUCAGUUUGUUGAUGACUUCGGAUGUGAAGUUUUUACCGUGUAAGGAGGUUUGAAUUGCAUUGCUUCAGGGUUCGUUUCUGUUCUGUCUGUGUUGUAGUAUGCAUGGUUAAAGUUUCUCUUAGCUUUUGUGACAACUAAAUUGUUCUGGUGUACUUGGUUUAAUUUGUACUACUAGUGUAGUUGUACUCUGCUUCAAAAGCGGUUUUGCACAUUUAGUGUGGUUGAUAACGGCUUUGUGCAUUUGGUUGAAACAAAACAGCAUUCUUUUUAACGGGAAGGUGGUCAAUUGCUUGGAGGUGGUUGAUUGUAUAAAGCGGUUAUCUUGGUCUUGGUUUAUAUGUUGGUCUUGGGUUUAUACGUAGGGAGGGGUCAUAAACAAAAAAUUUACUAGCGUGUAUUCAAAGUGUUUGAUCCUAUAUUUUCUGUAAUGGUUCCCGAGUACUGUUGCAUUGGAGAAGCUCUGCUGCUACCAUUAGCCGUGUUUUCUGUAAAGACUGGUUUUUUCUGAUGUGAAGAGUGUGGGAUUGUUUGUUGUACGAGGCUGCCUGGUGUCACUCUUGUUGGGAAUGCAGGAGAAACUUUGGUUCUUAUAGUCUGCAGUUGGUUUCAGGUUUCUCCUAGUUCAUAGACUCGAAAAAAAUAUAAAGCAUAAAGAAGUAGAUAUAUGAAACAAAUGGAGGAGCGCAAAAGCGAACACGCAUGAUAAAGGUGUGAUAAAGGAAACAUUGAUAGGGACGGCUUAGAAUCCUCUUCAUUUCUUAAAAAAUAUGUGUAUGAAAUUUGAUUUUCUAGUUAGAAUGUGAGACAUCAAAUCUUUAUACAACCGCGUCAAACUGCUUGAAUACAUCAUUAUUCAUUGGAGUGAAUCAAAGUACACAAAUGUUGAUAAAGACCUACAAACUCUAGCUUCCUUGUAGACAAGUCCAUGACUACAAUAAUCCCCAUUUUGUGGACUACAAUGUCUAUCUUCACAACAACUAAAAUAAAAGCCCCAACACCUACUAAAUUCUUUUAUUUACAAGACAAGAAUAUACAAUUAAUUUAUUCUCUAUCUAUUGUGGACUCCAUAUGAAUGAAUACAACUAAAGUGAUGACAUGUUUACAUAUUCAAUUGUUGAAGUUAGUUUUUUUAAGUAUAUUCUCUCCAAAAAUUGAAUUUUGGAAUAAGCAUUUGUCUUUUAGAAAGUAAAUUUUUGAAUAAAACCUAUAUAUGUUGGGGUAUCGUGUUAUGAGAAUUAUGCUCCAAUUUUUAUUUAAAGGCUUAAUUGCAUGUUUGGUCUCUUGUGUUUAUUUUAGGUUUUAAGUUGGUCAAGUGACAGAAGAGACUAACUUAUUCCAAUGUGAGUAACGUUUUGAACCAACUUGAAAAUUUUAAAACAUAAGGGACAAACUUGAAACUUUUAAAAAAUAAGGGACCAACUUAAAACCUAAAAUAAACAUAUGGGAUCAAACAUGCAAUUAAGCCUUAUUUAAAUUUUGCUUAAAAAAUAGUAUUUUGCAUAAAAGAUUUCAAUAAAUGAGUAUUAUGUGUUUAAAAAAGUAUGCAAAAUUGUGUAUUUUGUAUUUAAAAAAGAGUGCAAAAAUGUGUAUUUUGUGUAUAAAAAAGUGUGCAAAAGAAUAUCCUAUAAGAAAAAUAAGGAUGGGCCAAAAGUAAAUGCACCCAAUUAUUUUCAUUUAUAAGUUCUUCAACAUGAUUUGGGUCUAAACGCUCAAGGUCGGCCCAUUUUUCACCCUAUAAAUUUUAUCAAUACCAAGUAGCAUAAUGACAAAUAAGUUUUGCUACCAUUGAAGCAUGUGAAUCAUGUGUAAAAUCAGUGCAACAAAUUUUUACAAGAGCAAAAGAGAAAACUUAGAUGCACAUUGAGUUCAUGCCUAAUCCAUUCAAGCAGGAGAACCAGGUAUACGAUCUUAGUACGAUUUAGUUUUGUUUUCAAAUUCCGAUAUGAUUCAGUUAUAUUGUAACAUAAACGACUAGAUUUAUUCUUGAGAUAUUUCAAAUUCCGAUAUGAUUCAGUUAUAUUGUAAUAUAGGGAUGAUCGUAAAUGCAGAUCUGAGAAUCAAAUUUGUGAAUUAAACCUUCAAUUAGAAUUCAGAGAGCUUACAAAUCAAGCUUAUAUGCAAACAUAUUUCGGUUUUAGGGUUUUAUUAGGAAUUUUGAAUUUUCUGGUUAUAAAUUAUUUGAGAUGGACACUAACAAAACAUCAUAUGACAAUUUUAUCAUACUUAAAAUCAAAUUUGGUUAUUGGAACAAAUUAAAUGGUUCCAAGACCAUUAAUUUGGAUAUCAAUGUAGUUUAUAUGCGGAUGAUACUUUGUGUGUGGGGAAGGCAUGGAGAAUUUGUGGACUUUGAAGGCGAUUUUGAGGGGGUUUGAAAUGGCGUCCGGUUUGAAGGUAAAUUUCUCCAAAAGUAGUUUCAUUGGUGUGAAUGUUCCGAAUGCUUUUAUGGAUAUGGCGUGCGACUUCCUAAAUUGUAGUCGCGGGAACAUUCCUUUUAUGUAUCUUGGCUUACCGGUGGGAGCAAAUCAUGGUAGAGCCAUAACGUGGGAUCAUCUUGUGGGCCAUUUGAAUAAACGGUUGAACUCUUGGGGGAAUAGGUAUAUUAGCCUUGGAGGUAGGAUUGUCUUACUUAACUCGGUACUAAAUGCCAUACCUAUCUAUUAUUUGUCAUUCAUGAAGAUGUCGGUGAAAGUUUGGAGGAAGAUUGUUAGAAUUCAAAGAGAUUUCCUUUGGGGGGGAGUGGAGGGGGGGAGGAAGAUUGCGUGGGUCAAGUGGUCAAAGGUAUGUUUACCAAAAGCUAGAGGAGGUUUGGGGGUGAGGGAUGUCCGGAAGGUGAAUUUAAGUCUCUUGGCAAAGUGGCGAUGGAGGCUAAUCCAUGGUGAGAAUUUGCUAUGGAAAGAGGUGCUUUGCGAGAAGUAUGGCACACAAGAGAUUAAUGGGUUUGAGAGUGAUUCUAAUGUUUGGCCGGGCUACGCUUCAAAGUAGUGGAAGGAUUUGAUGGGAUUAGACCGGAGUGGGAAUUCCAAUUGGUUCACUUCGGAGGUGGUUAGAACGGUGGGAAAUGGAAACAAAACUAGCUUUUGGAAUCAUGUGUGGGUAGGGGAAGAAACUUUUAGGAGUAAAUAUCCGCGGCUUUUCGACAUUUCAAAUCAAAAGGAGGUGACUAUAGGGGAUAUGUGGGUGCAACAAGGGGUUUGGGAGUGGUCUUGGAGAAGGAUUUUUUUUGUGUGGGAAGAAAACCUCUUUGCGAACUUGUUGAGGGAUGUAGAGGGUUGUAGGCUUUCCGAUGAGGAAGACCGGUGGGUUUGGAAGUUGGAGGAAAAGGGGGUUUUUUCGGUAAAAUCUAUGUUCAAGAAGUUGGAGAAUGUGUUGGGUGUGGAGGAUGAACCUAGGGGCUGGGAGAGGGGAGUGUUUAAGGAUAUUUGGGAAAGUCCGGCGCCUUCUAAGGUGGUGGCUUUUUCGUGGAAGCUUCUUUAUGACUGGAUUCCUUGUCGGAGAAACCUUGCCGUGAGAAUUCAAUGUCCUCCCUCCGGACGUUCCUUUGACGUGUGUUCUUUGUGAUAGCGCGGAAGAGUCCUCGAUUCACUUGCUUCUUCACUGUCAAAUUGCUAGUAAGGUUUGGAAGCAUCUUAUGAGGUGGCUUCAAGGUAUUUUCAUUACUCCGCCGAAUCUCCUUUACCAUUGGGAGUGUUGGAAUAAUAUGGCGAUUAAUAAGAAAGUUCGUAAGGGGUAUCGGCUCAUUUGGCAUGCAACAGUAUGGUUGUUAUGGAAAAUUAGGAAUGACAAAAUCUUUAACAAUGGGGGGUGUGACGUGUCUCGUAUCGUUGAAGAGGUGAAGGUUUUGUCGUGGAGAUGGAGUCUAACGAGAUUGGAUAUACCUGAGUGUUUGUUUUAUGAGUGGGCGUGGGACCCGAAUGAGUGUUUGGUUCGGGUUUUGCCUUAGGGGAGCCGGUGUUUUGGGUCUGGGCUGCUAGCAGGUUUUUUGCUGAUGUGGGUAUGUGGGGCUGUUUUAGCUGCUGUUAGCAGCGCCUCAUCUAGGCUGUUCUAUCUGUGGGUUCAUUUAGUGGGGUGGUUUAGCUAUGUCUCUGAAAUUUGGUUGUGUUGCUGAAUUGCAGGGCCAUAACUUCUGUCAUCUAGGACUGGUAGUUGGAGUUUUUUCUUCUGGUGUCUGGUUGGUUCGGGUGCUUUGGGUAUAUCCGACAUCUUUUGGUUUGUAUUCCUUUGCGUACCUAGUGCGUCUUGUGCGGGUAUUGCUUAAUAAAUUUUGCUGUUUCAAAAAAAAAAAGUGUAAUCUAUUUGAAUUUUAUAAUUUAUUUUGUGUUCUUCAAUUUGUGCGCAUGAUGAGAACAUCAUUAUAGAGGCCAGUUUUAUUAUAUUCUACAAUUACAAAUUUUUUGAUUAAUUUUAUAGAUUCUAAAUUCCAACUAAAAUUUAAAUAUUAAUUCCAUUUUAUGUUUUGUGACAUGGGAUAGGUUGUGAAGGAAAUGAUGUUUUCAUCAUUAAAUCUAAUAGAAAUUUAUAUUAUUCCAUGGGUAAGAGUAGUCAUCCUAUAACCCCUAAAAUACUAAUUUAUUUCAAUAUGUGACAACUUCAGGAAAGGGAAAAGGAAAUUCAAUAGUGUCAAGGAAAUGGCAAUCAUCUAUAAUUAUAGAAGAUGAUGCAAUCAAUGAAGAUGACAAAUCUAGAAAGAUGUGCUUAAAUGAUAUAAUGAAGAAGUUAUGCCUGACUAAUGGAACAUAUCCUUCCAAUGAAGUGGCUCCCCAAAUUUGUAUGACAUCCGGAUCAAUUAAGGUAACACUCUCAUAUCAAGGAGUUGUAUUGGAAACUAUAUUAUAUGACAUUCAAUCAUUUGGCGUUAAUUAAUCUUAUAUAUUUAAUUAUUUUCAAUUGAAUUUACGUUUUCAAUUAAUUUUGUUUUAAUUUUCAUGGAUACCGAAGAAUGCUCUCAAAAUGAAUACGCGACAAGAAGAAAACGAGGUUUCAAACAUAGCGG